This 306-nucleotide long non-coding RNA is filed under the name Theobroma cacao (cacao). RNAcentral describes it as "long non-coding RNA (TCAC_LNC003105)". The record is from RNAcentral. Lineage: Eukaryota; Viridiplantae; Streptophyta; Magnoliopsida; Malvales; Malvaceae.
UUUGGCAUGAGCCAAGUUUUGAGAAAUUCACGAGCCAUAUUGAUUAUUUAGUUGAAAUGAAUAUUCGUGUUGUGAAAAAUUUGCUGAAAUGAAUUAUUUUUAAUUGUCUCUCUUUACUCGCCUUUAGAUAGUUUAGAUGGUGUCUGUUUACUCACUGGGAUUAUGUAAUCAUAAUCUCACCCCUCUUCCUAUCCAUUUUUCAAGCUCAGGACAAUUUGUUGAUAGUUGAGUAAGACGAGAAUUAACCUCGGAGUUGCAUCCUAGAAAGUAAGAGUUCGCGCCCUACACCUUCUUGGUCAGUUGGGG